Molecule: ribosomal RNA, 460 nt
Filed under: uncultured bacterium
Lineage: Bacteria
Description: partial 16S ribosomal RNA
Rfam family: Bacterial small subunit ribosomal RNA
Source: RNAcentral
CCUACGGGGGGCAGCAGUGAGGAAUAUUGGUCAAUGGACGAGAGUCUGAACCAGCCAAGUAGCGUGAAGGAUGACUGCCCUAUGGGUUGUAAACUUCUUUUAUAUGGGAAUAAAAUGUUCCACGUGUGGGAUUUUGUAUGUACCAUAUGAAUAAGGAUCGGCUAACUCCGUGCCAGCAGCCGCGGUAAUACGGAGGAUCCGAGCGUUAUCCGGAUUUAUUGGGUUUAAAGGGAGCGUAGGUGGAUUGUUAAGUCAGUUGUGAAAGUUUGCGGCUCAACCGUAAAAUUGCAGUUGAAACUGGCAGUCUUGAGGACAGUAGAGGUGGGCGGAAUGCGUGGUGUAGCGGUGAAAUGCUUAGAUAUCACGAAGAACUCCGAUUGCGAAGGCAGUUCACUGGACUGCAACUGACACUGAGGCUCGAAAGUGUGGGUAUCAAACAGGAUUAGAUACCCUGGUAGUC